RNAcentral lists this ribosomal RNA (274 nucleotides) under uncultured prokaryote. RNAcentral describes it as "partial 16S ribosomal RNA". It matches the Rfam family "Bacterial small subunit ribosomal RNA", at positions 524 to 798 of the family's 1533-position model. The record is from RNAcentral.
UACGUAGGGGGCUAGCGUUAUCCGGAAUUACUGGGCGUAAAGGGUGCGUAGGCGGUCUUUCAAGCCAGAAGUGAAAGGCUACGGCUCAACCGUAGUAAGCUCUUGAAACUGUAAGACUUGAGUGCAGGAGAGGAGAGUGGAAUUCCUAGUGUAGCGGUGAAAUGCGUAGAUAUUAGGAGGAACACCAGUUGCGAAGGCGGCUCUCUGGACUGUAACUGACGCUGAGGCACGAAAGCGUGGGGAGCAAACAGGAUUAGAUACCCUGGUAGUCCCU